UCGAUUGUGAAUAGUUACCUUCAGUGCUGGCCUUGCUGCAUGUGCACGUUGGUGACUUUCAUCCACACACUUGUGCACCUUUGGCCUCUUGCUGGCUUCAGCUGGCAGAGGAUUUUUACACACACACUCGAAUGUAAUGAAAACGUUUGUCGUGCGCAAGCACUAAUGUA
Molecule: unclassified non-coding RNA, 170 nt
Filed under: uncultured Sebacinaceae
Lineage: Eukaryota; Fungi; Basidiomycota; Agaricomycetes; Sebacinales; Sebacinaceae
Description: sequence contains ITS1
Source: RNAcentral